AGCAGAAAGUGAAGUAUUUUAUUCUUAACAUCCCCUGCCGUUGUGCUGCACUUGUUAGAUUUGUUUGCAGCCCGUGUCUGAAUGAGAGACAACUAGGGGUGUCGGGUGAUGGGACAUUAUAACUAAACCGAAGCCUUUUAUUUUGACGUUCGUAAUUACAUUCUGCAACUUGACAUUGUUUAGCGAUUACGUGCAGCUGGCUGUCAGUUAGUUGCAGAUAGCAGUGGUUUAGUGCUGGUAUGAAACGCCAAACUUAGUGAGCUCACGGGGAGAGUGCCUCCGCAGUAAAUUCUACAACUUGUCAAGGCACUUUGUAAAAUGAUUUCCCCUCGCGGCUUGUCUGCUCCUCUAGUCCGGCGACGUCUAGUGGGCUACCUCUAGCCGGUUAACCAGAGAUCGCACUGGCGUCCGGAUCCUUUGUAAGCUGAUCACGUUAUGUCCGUCUGUGCUAAGACUGGAAGUGACUGAAAGACAACACAGAUGCAUUCUUUCAGCAAGGUGACCAAAAUCUGUUUCACUCUGCAGCACUUGUCCUGGAGGUUUUGUAGACAGAACUGGAAGUGACUGAAAGAAAACGGAGACUUAUUCUUUCAGCAAGGUGACCAAAAUCUGUUUCGCUCUGCAGCACUUGUCCCGGAGGCUUUGUAGACAGAGUGACUGAACGAAAACCUAAAUGAGAAAUGCUGUGUACCUCAUCUUGAACUCUUUCACAUGGUGAUUCCUACACAUAAUUGCACACUGUAUGUGUUUAGCUAUCCUAUCUUACAAAGACUUAUUGCCAAUACUGUAUCUGCCUUUCCUCAAUACAAUGUAAAAAGUGCUGCAUAGACCAUUUAGAGAAGCAAUGUCUCAUGACUUUUGCUGUAUGUUUAUUUUUGAUCAAGUUUCAUUUGUUUUGUAAAAUAUCUUUGCAGAUUUUCUUUUCGUGCCUGGACACUUUUUUCCUUUCAAAUAUUGCUUUGAAUUGAUGCAAAUUGAAGAACGUGAAUCCCUGGUAAUAAAGGAAGGUUGACCAGAAAAUAA
This is a long non-coding RNA of Engraulis encrasicolus (European anchovy), 1023 nucleotides long. RefSeq lists it as uncharacterized. The record is from RefSeq and is a predicted model, not a curated record. The transcript has 8 exons. Lineage: Eukaryota; Metazoa; Chordata; Actinopteri; Clupeiformes; Engraulidae.